UCUAGAACUCGAGAUAUGGGCUGAACACUGAAUAGUGUAUGGGUUGCAGGACAGAUUCAGACUUCUCUUUUGAUGCUAAGAUUUAGACUUCCAAACCUCAUAAUUGAGUCUUGGACUCCCCUGAAUGUUUUAGGCCUAUGUCUUAGCUUUCUAAC
This is a non-coding RNA of Populus trichocarpa (black cottonwood), 155 nucleotides long. Lineage: Eukaryota; Viridiplantae; Streptophyta; Magnoliopsida; Malpighiales; Salicaceae. The record is from Rfam.